GUGAGUCAUCGAAUCUUUGAACGCACAUUGCGCCCGCUAGUAUUCUGGCGGGCAUGCCUGUUCGAGCGUCAUUUCAACCCUCGGGCCCAUGUGGUCUGGUGUUGGGGCCUUUUGCUGCGUUGCAAGCCCUGAAAGCAAGUGGCGGGCCUGUUGAGACCCUGAGCGUAGUAGUUUAUAACCUCGCUUUGGGGGAUCAGCGGGACACUUCCAGCCGUUAAAGCCGUCUCUAUAGAGACACUUACACAAGGUUGACCUCGGAUCAGGUAGGAAUACCCGCUGAACUUAAGCAUAUCAAUAAGCGGAGGA
This 306-nucleotide unclassified non-coding RNA is filed under the name Coniochaeta sp. RNAcentral's name for it is "partial contains 5.8S ribosomal RNA, internal transcribed spacer 2, and large subunit ribosomal RNA". The stretch from base 1 to 71 matches the Rfam family "5.8S ribosomal RNA", at positions 84 to 154 of the family's 154-position model. The record is from RNAcentral. Lineage: Eukaryota; Fungi; Ascomycota; Sordariomycetes; Coniochaetales; Coniochaetaceae.